This 216-nucleotide long non-coding RNA is filed under the name Nicotiana benthamiana. Its description in RNAcentral is "long non-coding RNA (NBEN_LNC000504)". Lineage: Eukaryota; Viridiplantae; Streptophyta; Magnoliopsida; Solanales; Solanaceae. The record is from RNAcentral.
GAGAGUCGGACUCCAUGCUAGGUCCAGGUGCUUCAAUAGGAGGUGCAGGUGGGCUCAUCAUAUCAGGAGAAGGUGCUGGUGAAGAUGCAUGUUUCUUCCCCUUCUUCCUUCCCUUGCCCUUGCUCUUGCUAGGAGCAGGAGCUGGUACUGUCUCCGAAGCAGCAGGUGCUGAAACUGGAACUGGAGUAGGUGGAGCAGAAGCAGCAGGUGGUGUGG